AUCAUGGUACUGAAAAGAAUGGAUGAAUAAAAGACCUUUACACAGAAAGCACAGUGACCAAAAUAUGAAAUCUCUCAACAAUGUAGAAAAUGUGACUUAUGUGCCUGGAAUAUAUCCAUUUGUGUAUAUGGAAAUCAAAAUAUGUUUCUACCUUGAUCAUGGAUUGUCUGGUUAAAUUUAGAAAUCAGUAGGUGAAGCUGGAAACUAUGGAAGAAGAAUUUGUAAUCCUCACUUGCCUUAUAAAAUGAACAUUGAGAAAAUUAACUCAAACAUUCUUAAGCACAAGAUUUCAACCUGUGAAAACGCCCCUGUGUCCCAGACAGGUAGGAGAGGCAGAGAUACUGCAGAGAGGCUGCACUGUCUCAUGCAAGAUCACAACUCCAAAUGGAAAAUAAAUGCACUGCAACCACCACAAUCUGAAGUAAAAGUCAACAUUUGGGAAAUAAAGCCUCCUGAUUUUAGUUACAAACUGUAUACAUCUUUGAGGCUUGCAGAAAAGCCAUCAAGGACCAUCAUGGAAGAAGAAAGAAGAAAAAUCCCUGAUUUUCCAGGAAAAAUGGUUCACCUUCCCAGCCUAAGGAAUCCUCCCAAGAAGGCCAUAUCUCCUAAAUUUAUAACUACAUUUCCACGUCUGGAUUCACAUAAAGCAAAGUUAAUGUUUGUGGAGAGUGGAAAAUAUCCAAAUGGUGUAUACCUCAAUCCAAAACCACAUGACUUUCGACAGGUACGAAAAAAGCAUUUGAUUCUAAAUAACUUAAAACAGGUAUAG
RNAcentral lists this long non-coding RNA (769 nucleotides) under Ovis aries (sheep). Its description in RNAcentral is "lncRNA (ENSOARG00000025221.1)". Lineage: Eukaryota; Metazoa; Chordata; Mammalia; Artiodactyla; Bovidae. The record is from RNAcentral.